CUUGUCUAACCUCAUCAAUGUCUAUCUUUGGUGACUUUUAUUAUCAUUUGUUGAAACCAUUGGAAAUCAAAUCAAUUCACAGUUCAUCUUUUGAUUUUGUCUGUUGAAUAAUUUUUGGUGUGUCUUUUAUUUUUCAUCGUUUGAUUAAUAGCAUCUAUUUAUAGUUAACCGACAAGUGAUUCUAUAACAUUUUAUGGUAAAUAAUUAGUCAUUUGAUCGCUGGUUAAAUUGUAAUGUAAACAUUUCAUCGAAACCAUUUUCCCUCCAUUUUUAUUGGUUUUCAAGUCUCUCUAAUUGUUUUCUCUCAUUAUUUUCAACUGUGACUCAAAAUGGAUAUCCUGGUAAUCUUGAUAAUCUUGAUAACCAACCUCUGGUUCAAACAAACUCUGACUCAAUUUAACGGAAAAUUGGGAUUUGUUUAAAGUCAAGUCUUUGGAUACAAUAUUUGGAUUGCUACAUUGGAGCUUCUCUAUUCUUUAAAGCUGCAACAUUGGCUAAUCCAAAUUUUGAGAUACUUCAUCUGAAAUAUUUGAAAGAAAUACUGACAACUGAAGGAUUCAAUAUAAAGCUGGAAAUCUUAAGUUCAAGGUACAGGUUAAAUUUUGAUACCUGGAUGACAAUGUGGAAACCUGAUGCGUCAUUAAUGAAGCAACUGCUUAAAAAACAUCUGUAGUUAGCUGACAACCGAUAUUUUUCUCAAUCGAUCACAAUGUAGUGAAAUAAUCACCAGCACUCAUGGUGAACAAAGCCUAUGUAAUUUUUGAUGUUUGCUGUUAGCUGAUGAUAUCAUUAAAUGUAAGUGUCAAUGGAUUAUCGCCUAUUUUUGCGCUACUGUUUAUAAUAAUACCAGAAUUUUAUACCAGAAUUACGUUAUUUAAGAAACAAAUUAGCGAACCAAGUCAGUAAUUUGUUGGUCAGUCCAUCACAUAAAGGGCUCAUUCUCAAGGAAACUAAUCAUUUUUUUGUUUGGUCAACUCAUGUUAAAAUGAAUGUUUUCCAAUUUAAUAGCAAUCCUUUAUUCAAGCAGAUCUAUAGAAUAACCCAGAGAUACUAUUCAAGAAUAGGAAUUCAAAUGAAAUUGAUAUCCCUGUAAUCUGAUGUUUUUCUCAUGCAAAUUUAUUCAUUUAUCACCAGCUACAUAACACUUUAUGAGUUUAUAAUUCACAGUCCUCAGGAUCUGUAUCACAAUUAUCACUAUCGUUGCAUAACAGCAAGCAUCAAAAUGCAAUUACGGAUGGUACAUUUAACCUAUCUAAAGGAUAUAUUGAAGGGAAUCAUCAUUGGUAAAGACAGUUUGCCUACGCUUUUUUACAUCAAAUGCGUUUUCCAAUCAAACUGAAUCCAUCAAAUCAAUCAU
Non-coding RNA from Tetranychus urticae (two-spotted spider mite), 1357 nucleotides. The record is from RefSeq and is a predicted model, not a curated record. Lineage: Eukaryota; Metazoa; Arthropoda; Arachnida; Trombidiformes; Tetranychidae.